Molecule: ribosomal RNA, 464 nt
Filed under: Vreelandella stevensii
Lineage: Bacteria; Pseudomonadati; Pseudomonadota; Gammaproteobacteria; Oceanospirillales; Halomonadaceae
Description: partial 16S ribosomal RNA
Rfam family: Bacterial small subunit ribosomal RNA
Source: RNAcentral
CCUACGGGGGCUGCAGUGGGGAAUAUUGGACAAUGGGCGAAAGCCUGAUCCAGCCAUGCCGCGUGUGUGAAGAAGGCCUUCGGGUUGUAAGGCACUUUCAGUGGGGAAGAAAGCCUUGGGGCUAAUACCCUCGAGGAAGGACAUCACCCACAGAAGAAGCACCGGCUAACUCCGUGCCAGCAGCCGCGGUAAUACGGAGGGUGCGAGCGUUAAUCGGAAUUACUGGGCGUAAAGCGCGCGUAGGCGGUCUGAUAAGCCGGUUGUGAAAGCCCCGGGCUCAACCUGGGAACGGCAUCCGGAACUGUCAGGCUAGAGUGCAGGAGAGGAAGGUAGAAUUCCCGGUGUAGCGGUGAAAUGCGUAGAGAUCGGGAGGAAUACCAGUGGCGAAGGCGGCCUUCUGGACUGACACUGACGCUGAGGUGCGAAAGCGUGGGUAGCAAACAGGAUUAGAUACCCCGGUAGUC